AUUGAACGCUGGCGGCAGGCCUAACACAUGCAAGUCGAGCGGAUGAAGGGAGCUUGCUCCUGGAUUCAGCGGCGGACGGGUGAGUAAUGCCCAGGAAUCUGCCUGGUAGUGGGGGAUAACGUCCGGAAACGGGCGCUAAUACCGCAUACGUCCUGAGGGAGAAAGUGGGGGAUCUUCGGACCUCACGCUAUCAGAUGAGCCUAGGUCGGAUUAGCUAGUUGGUGGGGUAAAGGCCUACCAAGGCGACGAUCCGUAACUGGUCUGAGUGGAUGAUCAGUCACACUGGAACUGAGACACGGUCCAGACUCCUACGGGAGGCAGCAGUGGGGAAUAUUGGACAAUGGGCGAAAGCCUGAUCCAGCCAUGCCGCGUGUGUGAAGAAGGUCUUCGGAUUGUAAAGCACUUUAAGUUGGGAGGAGGGGCAGUAAGUUAAUACCUUGCUGUUUUGACGUUACCAACAGAAUAAGCACCGGCUAACUUCGUG
RNAcentral lists this ribosomal RNA (484 nucleotides) under uncultured bacterium. RNAcentral describes it as "partial 16S ribosomal RNA". It matches the Rfam family "Bacterial small subunit ribosomal RNA", at positions 30 to 507 of the family's 1533-position model. The record is from RNAcentral.